UCCCUUUCACUUUAUCAACUUCAAUUUUGAAUUAUAGUUACGCCUAUGUCUGCACCUAUAUCGCCAAUUUCCGAUAACCUUAGGCGAAACUCGGUCAACACAAACAUAAAAAUCCGGCAUUUUUCCCCUAUGAUCAGACAUGUUUCCCUCAAUUGCAUAAAUCAACAUCCUCCUGAAACCCUAUCUCCCCCUCUCGAUCUCACAGUCUCCUUGAAAUUACAAUCCAUUCAAUCUGGCCCCAUGAGUUUUUUGUCGACCUCAUUGGGUUUUCAUGAAAGCUUUUAACUGGUAAUGGUGAAAUGAUUGAAGAAAGCGGUUAAUGGUGAAGACGAUUGACAAAAAUCGACUAAGAAUGCUCUCCAAAUAGAUGUCAACUGGCUUUUCAAAUUGUUAUGCAAGAGCAAUCCUGAACCGCUUGAUGAUGAUAUUUGGAACCAAGUUUGAUGAUGCACACCAAGUGCUCGAUGAAAUGCUAGAACCAAAUCUUAUUUCUUUUUUCUUAUGUGAAAAGAACGCGAAAUUUCUCACUGAUCCCAAAAGGUAAUGUUUUUUUGCGAUACAAAGUUUUAUAAAAAUAAGAAACCCCCAAGAGUACAAAGGCUCAUAUUUUAUCUAUAUUAUUUCUUCUUAUACUUCAAUGAGAGGUUUGUUACUAAUGAGAGUUUAGUAGUUUGUGUUUCAUUUGCAUUCCUGCAUUAGCAUUUAUGUUAUUCUAUACCCGUUUUAGCCUAUAUUGUUUUUAAAGAAAAUAUUUCUAAGUCUGAGAAAAAAACUGGUUAUAGGGUCAGAAUGGACAUUCAUUUGUCUCAUAUCUUAUGAUCAAGGAAAAUAUCUAUUUAAGUAUUCUUUACAAUAAAUUAUACCAUAUUUUCCAAAAAGUUGCCACAUUUGAUGAAGGUUCUUUUUUGAGUAUAUUCAUUUAUUUGUAUUUAGAUUUUUCUAAGAUUUUUAAAGUUAAUGAAGACGUAUGCAUUUAAAGCAGGGUAUGAUUUCAAUUGGGCUAAAAAAAAGCCCAAUGAUUAGGUAAAAUUACUCUUUUUUGUUAACAAUUUGGUUUUAACAAUUUUUUAUAGUUAAAUUCUUAGAUGAAGUUCUUCAUUUGAUGGGAAUGUUGGCUUGGCUUGUGCCAGUUUGGUCUGGAUUCUUUUGACUUUUAUUGAAUAAUGUUCUGGAAUAUGGUUUGGUUGAUUUUGAUUUUAACUGUCAAAUGGUGAAUUUGGAGAUAAUUUUGGUUGAUUUUGAUUUUAGUUGUUAGAUGGAAUUUCAAGAUGAUUGGAGGCUUCAGGUAAGUUACAACAUCCCAGUUAGUUUUGUGUUUCAACUCUUUGUUCUUGAUUCCUUCGUCCAAAGUUUGGAACUAUUUUUGUCGGCAAGAGAUCAAAGAUUGGAGUCGCAAAAUUUAUGGUCAAAUUGACUGCUUUUUGGUCUUCUAAUGUCAUUAAUUUUAGGACAUUUUGAUGGAGUUAGCUUCAAAUUAUUGGUGCAUCAAAAUUCUUCGCCAUCCGGUUGCAACUUCAUAAUACGUUACUAUUAAUGGUGCUAUAAUGUUACGUUUGUUAUAAAAUAUUCAUAUUUUUUGGUGUUAGUUUAUUCUACAAUUUGUGUUUUAUGGUCUAUUUUUAUAUCUUCAAUCUUUACAAAUUUUGUUUUGUAUGUUGUCUUUCUCUAAAAAAUUACCACCGUUCCAAUAA
Molecule: non-coding RNA, 1691 nt
Organism: Lactuca sativa (garden lettuce)
Lineage: Eukaryota; Viridiplantae; Streptophyta; Magnoliopsida; Asterales; Asteraceae
Source: RefSeq, a predicted model, not a curated record